AAAGACUUGACGGUGCNUCACAACAACCUAGAGGAGUCUGUCUAAUAACCGAUACUCCACGUUUAACCCCACCCACCCUAGCCUAACAGUCUAUAUACCGCCGUCGCCAGCCUACCUUGUGAAGGAAAUAAAGUAGGUAUAACAAGAACCCCCUAACACGACAGGUCGAGGUGUAACUAAUGAGUGGGCAAGAGAUGGACUACAUUUUCUAACACAGAACAUACGAAUAAACUAUGAAACUAGAAACUGAAGGCGGAUUUAGCAGUACGAUGGGAAUAAAAUACCCACCCGAAACCAAUGCAAUGAAGUGCGUACACACCGCCCGUCAUCCCUG
This 334-nucleotide ribosomal RNA is filed under the name Helicops infrataeniatus. RNAcentral's name for it is "partial 12S ribosomal RNA". The record is from RNAcentral. Lineage: Eukaryota; Metazoa; Chordata; Lepidosauria; Squamata; Dipsadidae.